Molecule: ribosomal RNA, 330 nt
Filed under: uncultured bacterium
Lineage: Bacteria
Description: bacterial SSU rRNA
Rfam family: Bacterial small subunit ribosomal RNA
Source: RNAcentral
UGCGUAGGCGGCGAUGUAAGUCAGAUGUGAAAUCCCCGGGCUCAACUCGGGUUCUGCAUUUGAAACUACAUUGCUUGAGUGCAGGAGAGGAAAGCGGAAUUCCUAGUGUAGCGGUGAAAUGCGUAGAUAUUAGGAAGAACACCAGUGGCGAAGGCGGCUUUCUGGACUGUAACUGACGCUGAGGCACGAAAGCGUGGGGAGCAAACAGGAUUAGAUACCCUGGUAGUCCACGCUGUAAACGAUGGAUACUAGGUGUGGGGGACAUACAACCUCUGUGCCGGAGCAAACGCAAUAAGUAUCCCGCCUGGGGAGUACGGUCGCAAGACUGAA